This 3258-nucleotide long non-coding RNA is filed under the name Nicotiana tabacum (common tobacco). RNAcentral describes it as "long non-coding RNA (NTAB_LNC005982)". Lineage: Eukaryota; Viridiplantae; Streptophyta; Magnoliopsida; Solanales; Solanaceae. The record is from RNAcentral.
UUGUGAGAUUCUGACUGGGUAAGGCCGAGGGCCUAUGUUGUGAGGAAACACUGAUUGUGAUUUUGAGGCCGAGGGCCUGCGAUUUGUACACCAAGAGGUGGCUUGUUGAUAUGAGGUUGAGAGCCUAGUGAUGAUACCACGAUAUGGCUUGAUAUUGCACUUGGGUCGUAAGAGGCCCCUCCAGGAGUCUACACACCCCCAGUAAGCGCGGGUACCCAUUGUGAUGUGAGAUAUAGCCCGAGGGGCUGGUGUUGUUCUAUGAUAUUGCUCGAGGGGCGAUCAUUUAUGUGUUUAUCUUUCCUAUUUGCCUGUCAUUUACCUGCUUAAUUCUUCAAAAUGCAUUUCAUGAAGUUUAAACUAAACUAAAAUGACUUUACAUAUCUUCACUGAUUCACUGUUUUUUUACUGGCUUCUACUGCUUCAUUAUAGCCUCUAAUGUGCCUUACGUGAUUUCAUAUUUCUCAGUCUUUAUUUAUGAUUAUUACUCACUAAGUUGGAGUACUCACUUUACUCCCUGCAUCCGGUGUGCAGAUUCAGGCACUUCAGGUCCCGCUAGCGAGUGUUGAUCCUUCCAGCUCAGGCGGAUUCGGAGAUUCUCUAGGUAACUGUCGGCGUUCGCAGCCCAGAGCUUCUUCCCUUAUCUUAAUUUCUCUAUUUUAGCUCUGUAUUAGACUAUGUAGACUCUUCAGACUUGUAGUAUAUUGAUAGAUGCUCAUGAUUGGUGACACCCCGAUGUCGGGCUGUGUUGUUUCCGCAAAUUUUAUUAUUCACCGUAUUUUAGGAUUUUAUUAUGUUUAAUGACUUAAUUUGUACUACUUUAAAUUUCUUAAAAUGAAUUGGGAAUGUGUCGGCUGGCCUUGUCUUCGCGAGAGGCGCCAUCACGGCCGGGUCCGGGUUUAGUGGCGUGACAACAUACCCGGAACCAAAAGGUCAUCCAACUUUAUAACUGAUCGGAUCCUCAUUCUAAAUUAAGGUAUGACACUAAUAGAAAAGAAGUCACGCCAGCGUGCACUUCCCAGAAGAUUUAGAAGACUCAGAGAGAAGAAGGUUUUCGUAACAGUUUUAUAUACAGUUCGAACAAUAUCAAAGCGGUAAAAGAAGCAUUUAGCACAUUAGGCUCUAACACCUAAAAAUCACAUAAUAAACAAAAGCCAACUACAACAGACUUUCUAGCUUGAUUUCUGAACCUUGAACCAGAGAUUCUGGAUUCUACUCCCCAGCAGAGUCGCCAAAGUUGUCACACCUCCUUUUUUCCGAAAGGAAUAGAGAGUUUUUCCAAUCAAAGUGACAUUAAUCGAAAUGGGAUUAUUAAUUUAAUUCAGAGCUGCCACAUGGAAUAAUUAAUGAUAUCCCAAGUCGAUGGUUUAUUUUAAAAUCCCAAAUCAAGGAGAUUGACUCUAUUUUUUUGGUUCGCGAACACAGAAGACCGGGUAAAGAAUUCUAUUAACCCGGAAGAAGGUGUUAGGUACUCCGAGUUCCGUGAUUUUAGCAGGUUUGCUCAACUAUUAAUAACUGGCCUAAUUAUCUGAUUAAUUACAUGCUUUAAACUUAUUGUGUAUUUUUAUCUUCUAACCGCAUUUAAUUAAUUAUUUAAAUGCUUUUGUACUUGUGGAAAUUAUUUGAACAAGUUGUGAUGUCACGCACUUAUUAUUUUUGUACACAUUGCGAAUCGCAUCACGUGAAACGCACCUGCAAUCUACAACAUGCCGAUUUUAUUAUUAUCCUAAGUUGUGGUCGAGUCGUGUGAAACGCGCACUCGAAUUGGGAUUUACGUAUCAUGACCACGCCACUGGAAUUGUACUCAUAGUCACGAUGUUUUAUCAAUCGUGCCUAAAGCAAUCUACGGUAUUCAUGAAUUGAUUAGCUUUCCUAAGACUUAAGACUAAAUGUGAAAGCCCGAAUUUAUGGGAUGAUCGUGAGAAGGAAUUACAUUCACACUAGUCAACUAAGUUAAGUGGGAUUUCUACUUUCACGAAAUUAUACGGCAAUUACACCUUAUUGGCUUAUAUCUAAGAAUUCACGUGAAUUGGAUUAGUUAUGAAAAUUGCUAAGAACUGGUGAGCAAGUGUGGUUGAUGUUCAUGUUCAAGUCCCACAUAAAGGAAAGUUCUAAUCAUUAAACUAUCUAUCGCUCAGACUUUAAAUACCCAGAUAAUAAAAUUGUGGGAAUAAAUUAAAGACCCAAUCUUUAAACCUUGCGAUGGUAAAGAGUCGAAACAGAUACAACACUUAACCGUAGGAAGGAAUUGACACAAAAAAUAAUAAAAUCUGCCUUGCUUUACAUAAUAGCGGCACAAUAUAUGAUUCAAAUAACAUCAUUGACACAGUAAUCCUAUAUUACAUACAUAAUUGUCAUAAUAAAUUACAGUCUUCCUUGGAUCCAAAUACACCCUAAUAGUGCAUCGAUGGUUUCAACAUUCACUUUAGAUUAGAAACAACAAACUUUUAAACACAUCUUCAAAAUCCCAUUCUUUAGCUUUACCUACUCAUCACAUAUGUAGACAAACUAUAGUAGCUUUAUGUUUAGAGCUAUUGCUAAAGCUGCAAGAUUUAAACAAAACUUCAGACAUCAUUCAAGAUUAUCAAUCAAGUCAAACAUUAAUUACUCAUACUUAGUUGAUCAAAUUUUCAUAAGUGUCAUAUUUCAAAGCUACUUUAAUGUUUCUACUCAUGAUUGAAACAAAAAGUCCAUUAAAUCACACACUAAAAUAGCAACAAACAAAUAUUCAAAGAUCAAACAAGAGUAGAAGCAUUUCUAUUCAUUUGAUAAGAAUAAAAAUACAAAGUGAUCUUAGUACUGACCUAGUUAAGCAAGAAAGCACCAAGAUAUCCAGAUAAGAACAGAAUCUUAUUCAAACUGGAAGCUCAGUAGUAAUUUUCAACAGUGAAACCCAGGUCUCAACAGUUAAUCAAAUUUAUAAAACUCAAAAGAAAUGAAGCUGGAAGACAGAAUAAGAAAAGAUUGGAACUUUCUCUAUAUUUUGUAUUUCUGUCUCUAAAUUGGAAUUUUCAGAUUGUUUUCUUCUUCAGAGAAAUCCAUGAGGAUGAGAGUGUAUGGGUGUUUUUUCUCCCCAGAACAAUAUAAAAUCCAGUACCUUAUAUAAAGUGUGUGAUUUGUAGAAAAAGGGAGAGGAUAGAAAGGAAUCCUGUCAGCUAAAAAUUAGGGGAGGGAAUCUUUCUAAAACUGAAAAUGGACAGCUAUCCAAUUCAGACUUUCUAUAUUAUUUUAAUUAAAACUUUUAACUUCUGAAAAUUCUCC